RNAcentral lists this long non-coding RNA (780 nucleotides) under Bos taurus (domestic cattle). RNAcentral's name for it is "long non-coding RNA NONBTAT016964". Lineage: Eukaryota; Metazoa; Chordata; Mammalia; Artiodactyla; Bovidae. The record is from RNAcentral.
GUGUCCCUCUUAUGUCCACAAUAAUACAGUCAAGAGGUUUACAAGUUCAAAGAAAAAUAUGUAGACAUAAAUAACAAAUAUGCAGAAUCUAUAUGAAGGAAAUGAACUUUAUUAAACAACAGUUUAAAAGAUUUGAGUAAUUAGAGGUACAAAUCACUUUUCUGAAUAAAAAAUGAAGCAUAUUAUGGCACAACAUUCCCAACAAAAUCUCAAGUUAUUUAUUUCUUUUGGUUUCAUUGUUAGAACAAAUGUAAAUUUUAUGUGUAAUAUUGGGAAGAGCCAAACAUUUUGUGAAAAUGGAGACUAAUACUUAUCUGAAAAUGUAUCUUUAACGACUAUAAUAAUCUAAAUAUUUUAGCUUUGAGUGGGGAAAUAUACAUGUUAAGUCCUAAGAUUGUGAUAAGAAUUUAGUCUAUGAUAGUGUUUCAAAGAAGUGGAGAGAAAUGGGCCUAUUCAAUAAGUGGUGUUGGGAUGGCAGAGUAAGAUAGUGUGAAAAUAACAGGGAUUCAACAGGAUAAGCCUUCCCCAAAAAACACAGAUAAAGGGGUAGGUUCAGGACAACCUAUCAAUUGGAAGCUGCAGUCUCCAAUUGGAAGCAAUAACAGGGGUAGUGGCUGAAGACAUAUAGUCUACUCAUGAGUUGAACCCUCCCAGAGUCUAUGGCUCUGCCAAAUAUACCUUCCCUGCCAAGUAUAGACUGGAUAUGAAGUGAUGGGUCGUAUCAGGCAAGAGGAGGUCAAGUUCAAGAUAGAAAAUGGGCCCAAUGCCAAAACAAAACAG